AGUACAAAUUAUUUCCUAAAGAAUCAAUCACAGCCGUCCAUUCCUCAAUCAUAUUUUCCAUCAGCUCUUUCCCCUUCCUUUCAUGUGUUUCUUUUUCUUUUUCCGUUCCCCAGACUUCCAUCUUCCUUUGCAGCUGUUCAGUUUCUCAUUUGACAAAUAUAAAGAAAAAAGAAUCGAAGAAAGAAAAAGAGAGGGAGAGAAGGAAAAGGCAAGUAUGAGAUGGAGAAAGAAAGAUCGAGACGAUGUAGAAAGAUGGAGAAGAUAAGAACGAUAAUGAUUCGUCCGGCGACGGUGGAGGCUGGCAGACAGAGUUCCUUUUUCUCCAUUAUUGUCUUAUGACAUGGACAAGACCUACUCAUCAUCAUCAUCAUCUAGAUUAAUGGGCUGAUCCUGAUAUUGAGCUUCCAGGGCCGUUUGUAUACAAAGUUUAUCGAGAAUCAUUUGAAAAGGAUUUCAACAUGGCAGAUAUUGAACCUGAAAAAUCAGCCAGAUGGGGAAUUCCUGCGCUGAAUCGCUGCUUCUCCUCGAAGUUUUCUAGAGAAAUUGAGCAAGAGUCAUCCAAUUUUGUAACGCUUGGUAUUACCAUUGAUGAGAACAAAUAGAUUGAUGGCAUUGAAGGUAGUUUUUGGAUUAAUUCUUCCCCUUUUGUCCAGCAAAUCCAUAUUUGCUAAUAUUUUAUUUUCAGAAUUCCCCUAUCCCUUUAAGGUAAUUGUGUGUUGAUUGAUAGUGAAACAUAUUGUGCUCAAAUAAACAUAUGAAUUGAAAGAUUAGAGACGAGUGGAUUAUAAAUGUUUAAGAGAGCUACACAGUUUUGUUGUCUUUGAUUUAUUCCUCCCCCCCCCCUUCUGUUUAAACUGUAUCAGCAGUUUAUUUUCAUGUAUUUUGAAAGAAUCCAGUUAUAUAAUUGGGUUGCUUUGUUUAUGUAUUUUAGGUGCCCACUAGGGUGGGCAACUUUGAAACUGGUCCACCGGUGCACCAUGAUUUAUAACCAUUAGAUUUUAGCAUCUUAGAAUAUUUUCUAAUUGAAUGGUCAGGAUUUGAUACAUGAAAAAAUGGUAAAAAUGUAAGUGUCACACUUCUU
Lotus japonicus is the source of this 1081-nucleotide long non-coding RNA. RefSeq lists it as uncharacterized. Lineage: Eukaryota; Viridiplantae; Streptophyta; Magnoliopsida; Fabales; Fabaceae. The record is from RefSeq and is a predicted model, not a curated record. The transcript is spliced from 4 exons.